Molecule: long non-coding RNA, 1040 nt
Organism: Carassius auratus (goldfish)
Lineage: Eukaryota; Metazoa; Chordata; Actinopteri; Cypriniformes; Cyprinidae
Exons: 3
Source: RefSeq, a predicted model, not a curated record
CAGAAAUGUGGCUGAAGGGAGAUACUGACUUAGAAAUACAGGUGAACUCAUGAAAGAAGCUCAUGAAAUACAUUAAUAUGCCUUUUUCAGAAUAUAUUUCACCAAUUUUAAGAAGUCCCUGACAUCAAAACAUGGCUUGUUUUGUUCCUGGACUCUUCAGUGAUGAUGAGCAGAGUCUGAGUGAACCUGCUGUCAGACAAUCACUAUUGCACACCAAGUAAGCAAAACAACAUUUUUGAUUUCAUUUUAUUUUAUUUCUGCAAACAACUUGCACCACUUGCAAUUGGUUUUCCAGCCCAAAACCUCAUCAAAAACUGAAUGCAACGGUUUUUGUCUAUGAUUAUUUUGUCAAAACAUCUUUUGUCUAUGGUAACUCUAAUCUACAUUAACUAUUUAAUUAGUAUCCAGUUAUUUAUAUUAAAUUUGUGGAGUUAACAACUACUUCUGAACCAAUUAAAUAAUAAACAUAAACAUUUUUGAGUCAAUUGGCCUCAUACAUUUCCCUUAUGAAAGAGGUCACUGCAAGCUAAUCCUUUUUGCCUCCCUUUAAUUCGAAUACAUCCAUGAACAGGCAGUUCUGAAAAGUGCUUUGAAUAUAGGGGAAAUAUGAUCUAGCCUACAACACGAGGACUUAUUGCCUUAUCCGAUCAUUGAAAAGGCCUAGGCUACUGAAUUUGUUCAAAUAUAUGUUCUGUUUAACUUAAAUGCUAUAUUUGUUUUGCAUUGUGAUUUUAUCUUCUGUUUUAGAUGCUCUUACUCAGCAUAUGGGGACAGCUACCAUCACCCAAUUUUCACCCAAAAGUGGCUGCGCUAUGCGCCAGACCGGGCAGGAGGGACUGGACGACAACUUAUGCAGGCAUCAGAUGACAAUGAAGUGUAAAUAAAGAGUAGAGAGGCUAAUAAACAGGAAUUUGAUUUUAAAUAGUGUGGUGUGUUCUGUGUUUUAUACAAGAUUUUAAAUGUUCCAUUAAUUUUUAACAUCCUGGCUGUAGAUAAAGCAGGCUAUUUAAUUUAUGGCAUUACAUUUAAAAUUAACAUUU